AGUGAACGCUGGCGGUAGGCCUAACACAUGCAAGUCGAACGGCAGCACAGUAAGAGCUUGCUCUUACGGGUGGCGAGUGGCGGACGGGUGAGGAAUACAUCGGAAUCUACUUUUUCGUGGGGGAUAACGUAGGGAAACGUACGCUAAUACCGCAUACGACCUACGGGUGAAAGCAGGGGAUCUUCGGACCUUGCGCGAUUGAAUGAGCCGAUGUCGGAUUAGCUAGUUGGCGGGGUAAAGGCCCACCAAGGCGACGAUCCGUAGCUGGUCUGAGAGGAUGAUCAGCCACACUGGAACUGAGACACGGUCCCGACUCCUACGGGAGGAAGCAGUGGGGAAUAUUGGACGAUGGGCGCAAGCCUGAUCCAGCCAUACCGCGUGGGUGAAGAAGGCCUUCGGGUUGUAAAGCCCUUUUGUUGGGAAAGAAAAGCAGCAGGUUAAUACCCCGCUGUUCUGACGGUACCCAAAGAAUAAGCACCGGCUAACUUCGUG
RNAcentral lists this ribosomal RNA (492 nucleotides) under uncultured bacterium. Its description in RNAcentral is "partial 16S ribosomal RNA". It matches the Rfam family "Bacterial small subunit ribosomal RNA", at positions 29 to 507 of the family's 1533-position model. The record is from RNAcentral.